UGCAGUGCGGCGUGUCUUAGGCAUGCAGUCGAGCGGCAAGGGCAGCAAUGCCCCUAGAGCGGCGGACUGGUGAGUAACGCGUGGGUGAUCUGCCUCGGGGUUGGGGAUAGCCAUUAGAAAUAGUGGGUAAUACCGAAUACGCUCCAUUGGCUGCGGCCAGUGGAGGAAAGGCGCUACGGCGCCGACCUGAGAUGAGCCCGCGUCCCAUUAGCUAGUUGGUGAGGUAACGGCCCACCAAGGCUAUGAUGGGUAGGCGGCCUGAGAGGGUGUACGCCCACAUUGGGACUGAGAUACGGCCCAAACUCCUACGGGAGGCAGCAGCUAAGAAUAUUCCGCAAUGGACGAAAGUCUGACGGAGCGACGCCGCGUGGAUGAUGAAGGCCGGAAGGUUGUAAAAUCCUUUUGUCGGGGAAGAAUAAGCAUGGGAGGGAAUGCCCGUGUGAUGACAUGAACCGGCGAAUAAGCCCCGGCUAACUACGUGCCAGCAGCCGCGGUAACACGUAGGGGGCGAGCGUUGUUCGGAAUUACUGGGCGUAAAGGGCAUGUAGGCGGUUUUGUAAGCCUGACGUGAAAGGCUAUGGCUCAACCAUGGCACUGCGUUGGGAACUGCGAGACUUGAAUCAUGGAGAGGGAGCUGGAAUUCCAGGUGUAGGGGUGAAAUCUGUAGAUAUCUGGAAGAACACCAGUGGCGAAGGCGAGCUCCUGGCCAAUGAUUGACGCUGAGGUGCGAAAGUGUGGGGAUCAAACAGGAUUAGAGACCCUGGUAGUCCACACUGUCAACGAUGUGCACUAGGUGCUGGGGCGGACGCUUCAGUGCCGGAGCUAACGCGGUAAGUGCACCGCCUGGGGAGUAUGCUCGCAAGGGUGAAACUCAAAGGAAUUGACGGGGGCCCGCACAAGCGGUGGAGCAUGUGGUUUAAUUCGAUGGUACACGAGGAACCUUACCUGGGUUUGACAUGCACAGGAAUACGGCAGAGAUGUCGUAGUCCCGCAAGGGAUCUGUGAACAGUGCUGCAUGGCUGUCGUCAGCUCGUGCCGUGAGGUGUGGGUUAGUCCCGCAACGAGCGCAACCCCUACUGCCAGUUACUAACAGGUAAUGCUGAGGACUCUGGCCGGAAC
This 1119-nucleotide ribosomal RNA is filed under the name uncultured bacterium. RNAcentral's name for it is "bacterial SSU rRNA". It matches the Rfam family "Bacterial small subunit ribosomal RNA", at positions 34 to 1150 of the family's 1533-position model. The record is from RNAcentral.